RNAcentral lists this long non-coding RNA (161 nucleotides) under Marmota monax (woodchuck). The record is from RNAcentral. Lineage: Eukaryota; Metazoa; Chordata; Mammalia; Rodentia; Sciuridae.
UUGACUGGCCAGGGAGGACUCGGAUGGUGGCGGGAGCCCCUUGCGACGACCGUCAUCGAACCGCGCGAAGGGCGGACGCGCGGGGCCGCGGAGACCCCGGCCCGCGGGAGAGCGCGCGCCCCGCUCCCCCGUGCGCGCGCGGGGCCCCUCGGGCUGGUUGG